Molecule: ribosomal RNA, 116 nt
Filed under: Pteropus alecto (black flying fox)
Lineage: Eukaryota; Metazoa; Chordata; Mammalia; Chiroptera; Pteropodidae
Source: RNAcentral
GUCUACAGCCAUGCCACCCUGAACAAACCUGAUGUCUGAUCACAGAAGCUAAGGAGGGUCGGGCCUGGUUAUUACUUGGAUAGAAGACCACCUAGGAAGACCAAGUAUUAUAGGCA